This 492-nucleotide ribosomal RNA is filed under the name uncultured bacterium. RNAcentral's name for it is "partial 16S ribosomal RNA". It matches the Rfam family "Bacterial small subunit ribosomal RNA", at positions 30 to 507 of the family's 1533-position model. The record is from RNAcentral.
AUUGAACGCUAGCGGGAUGCUUUACACAUGCAAGUCGAACGGCAGCACGAAAAGAGCUUGCUCUUUUUGGUGGCGAGUGGCGAACGGGUGAGUAAUGUAUCGGAACGUACCCAGUAGCGGGGGAUAACUACGCGAAAGCGUGGCUAAUACCGCAUACGCCCUACGGGGGAAAGGGGGGGAUCGCAAAACCUCUCACUAUUGGAGCGGCCGAUAUCGGAUUAGCUAGUUGGUGGGGUAAAGGCUCACCAAGGCAACGAUCCGUAGCUGGUUUGAGAGGACGACCAGCCACACUGGGACUGAGACACGGCCCAGACUCCUACGGGAGGCAGCAGUGGGGAAUUUUGGACAAUGGGGGAAACCCUGAUCCAGCCAUCCCGCGUGUGCGAUGAAGGCCUUCGGGUUGUAAAGCACUUUUGGCAGGGAAGAAACGGCGCUGACUAAUACUUGGCGCAACUGACGGUACCUGCAGAAUAAGCACCGGCUAACUACGUG